AUGCGGCCUCUUGGACCUCCACCCAGACCGGCCCAACCUCCCCUAGGCCCAACAUCUCCCAAUCUAACCCUAGCCCACUCAACCUCUCUCUGCCCGAUCCCCUCUCUCCCCUUCGUUCUCCUCCUGGCGCCGCCACUCGCUGGGAGAGAGAGGAGCAGAGCCCUCGGCUCGAUCCCGAUCCCCUCGACCCCUUUCCUCCCAAUCCCACGCAACCCCGCCGCCGAGCACCACCGUCGCGCUGCACCGGUCACGUCCAUCUCCCUGACCCGCGCCUCGACCUCCUGCUUCCUUGACUCCAGCCGCCCCUGCCGGCGACCAGGAGGCCACUGUCGUCCGUCUCCUCCACCUGGAGCUUGCGCAGCCGCGCGCCCAGAGGUCGCCGCCCGCUCCUCCCUCUACCCCGCUUCUGCGCCGCCGUUCUCCAUGGCCGUUGCCGGCCAAGUUCAGAGGACUACCGCUCCACCUCGCCGCCAUGGCUGCUGCCUGUUUGUCGCCCAUGGACCAGAGCCGCCCUUCCCCGUCGUCUCUCCAUGUCAGCGGAGUCCCUGCGCGCCAAGUCCCUUAACCGGAGCGCCGCGCCUACGCCCCUGCUUCCUCCACGUCACCGGCGAGCGUCGCGCCAUCUUCUUCACUUCCUGCCAUCGAGCUCGUUGUGCCCUUGCUCCGACCUCUGCUUCGCCUAUGCACCACCGGCCUUCAAGCUUUAUGCCCGCCCCGGCCAUCAUCUCCUGCUGCCUUGAGCAGCCCCUUCACGACCGCAACCGAGACCUUUGUUCUGCUAUGUUUUGGACACGCCGAGAACCGAGGCCCUUUUGGUGCUACUUCGCUUUGGAGGCGCCAAGAUCCUCUCUCACAAGUGUACGACUACAUGGUGAUUCGUGUGUACCACUACUAUCGCCCCAAGACGUUGGAGUCAUCAAGUACCCCUCUGAACGAACGUGA
This 942-nucleotide ribosomal RNA is filed under the name Triticum aestivum (bread wheat). RNAcentral describes it as "partial small subunit ribosomal RNA". The record is from RNAcentral. Lineage: Eukaryota; Viridiplantae; Streptophyta; Magnoliopsida; Poales; Poaceae.